GAACAUCCUUCAAUCUGCCAACAAGAAAAAAAAGGACCAGAGGAAGACAGGAGGGGGCCCUCCUCCAGCAGAGUUCACCCCUGCCGAGGAGCUGGCCCUCAGCAACAAUGAGGGUCGGCCCUUGAUGGUAGGGGUGGAAGGGGGGUUCUCUACAGACCCUGGUUGCAGCAGCUCCCACCACCUUUAUAUACAGGAUGAUGGGAAGAACGUGGUGUUGCUGCCCCCCCCCCAAUCAACAACUAUACCUCAUACAGAGGGGGGCCUAGAUGAGGAUGACACACUGUCAGAGAGCGCAGAGAUGGAAGAAGGAACUCUUCCUCCCCCGCAGCUACAGGUGC
Molecule: long non-coding RNA, 338 nt
Organism: Trematomus bernacchii (emerald rockcod)
Lineage: Eukaryota; Metazoa; Chordata; Actinopteri; Perciformes; Nototheniidae
Exons: 5
Source: RefSeq, a predicted model, not a curated record